This 580-nucleotide small RNA is filed under the name uncultured Gliomastix. RNAcentral's name for it is "eukaryotic LSU rRNA". The stretch from base 187 to 340 matches the Rfam family "5.8S ribosomal RNA". Lineage: Eukaryota; Fungi; Ascomycota; Sordariomycetes; Hypocreales; Bionectriaceae. The record is from RNAcentral.
GGGACAUUACCGAGUUGCAAAACUCCCAAACCCACUGUGAACCAAUACCACUGCUGCUUCGGCGGACACGCCCCGGGCGCACCUCCUCAGGGGGGUGUGCCCCGGAACCAGGCGCCCGCCGGGGGACCGAAACCUCUGUAUUUACCAUUUGAGUACUCUGAGUGUGAUUUACAAAAUCAAAAUUAAAACUUUCAACAACGGAUCUCUUGGCUCUAGCAUCGAUGAAGAACGCAGCGAAAUGCGAUAAGUAAUGCGAAUUGCAGAAUUCAGUGAAUCAUCGAAUCUUUGAACGCACAUUGCGCCCGCCAGUAUUCUGGCGGGCAUGCCUGUCUGAGCGUCGUUUCGACCCUCGCGCCCGGCUUCUGUCGGGGGCGGUGUUGGGGAUCGGCCACACCCUUUACUGGGCGGCCGUCCCCUAAAUCCAGUGGCGACCACGCUGUAGCCUCCCCUGCGUAGUACUAAAACCACCUCGCAGGCGGAGAGCGGUGCGGCCCGCCGUAAAACCCCCCAACUUUUACAAGGUCGACCUCAGAUCAGGUAGGAAUACCCGCUGAACUUAAGCAUAUCAAUAAGCGGAGGA